RNAcentral lists this ribosomal RNA (253 nucleotides) under uncultured bacterium. RNAcentral describes it as "partial 16S ribosomal RNA". It matches the Rfam family "Bacterial small subunit ribosomal RNA", at positions 524 to 776 of the family's 1533-position model. The record is from RNAcentral.
UACGAAGGGGGCUAGCGUUGUUCGGAAUUACUGGGCGUAAAGCGCGCGUAGGCGGGCUGGUAAGUCAGAGGUGAAAUCCCGGGGCUUAACCUCGGAAUUGCCUUUGAAACUGCCAGUCUGGAGUCCUGGAGAGGGUGGUGGAAUUCCUAGUGUAGAGGUGAAAUUCGUAGAUAUUAGGAGGAACACCGGUGGCGAAGGCGACCACCUGGACAGGUACUGACGCUGAGGCGCGAAAGCGUGGGGAGCAAACAGG